RNAcentral lists this ribosomal RNA (442 nucleotides) under Lacunicambarus diogenes. RNAcentral describes it as "partial 16S ribosomal RNA". It matches the Rfam family "Bacterial large subunit ribosomal RNA", at positions 1967 to 2625 of the family's 2925-position model. Lineage: Eukaryota; Metazoa; Arthropoda; Malacostraca; Decapoda; Cambaridae. The record is from RNAcentral.
AUUAGUUUUUUAAUUGAAGGCUAGAAUGAAUGGUUGGACAAAAAAUAAUCUGUCUCAAUUAAAGAUAUUGAAUUUAACUUUUAGGUGAAAAGGCUUAAAUGAUCUAAAGGGACGAUAAGACCCUAUAAAACUUUAUAUUUAAGAGUAGAAAUUAGUUUUAUUUAAAGAUACUAUUUUAUAAUAUUUGGUUGGGGCGACAGGGAUAAAAUAGGGAGUAACUGUCUUUUUUUAUUUACAAUGAUAUUUGGGUCCAUGAUCCUAAAAUGGAUUAAAGAUUAAGUUACUUUAGGGAUAACAGCGUUAUUUUCUUUGAGAGUUCUUAUCGACAGGAAAGUUUGCGACCUCGAUGUUGAAUUAAAGGUUCUUUAUAGAGUAGAGACUAUAAAAGAAGGUCUGUUCGACCUUUAAAAUUUUACAUGAUUUGAGUUCAGACCGGUGUGAG